UAGGGAAUAUUGCACAAUGGGCGCAAGCCUGAUGCAGCAACGCCGCGUGAGGGACGACGGCCUUCGGGUUGUAAACCUCUUUUAGUAGGGAAGAAGCGAAAGUGACGGUACCUGCAGAAAAAGCACCGGCUAACUACGUGCCAGCAGCCGCGGUAAUACGUAGGGUGCAAGCGUUGUCCGGAAUUAUUGGGCGUAAAGAGCUCGUAGGCGGUUUGUCGCGUCUGCUGUGAAACCCCGAGGCUCAACCUCGGGCCUGCAGUGGGUACGGGCAGACUAGAGGGCGGUAGGGGAGAUUGGAAUUCCUGGUGUAGCGGUGGAAUGCGCAGAUAUCAGGAGGAACACCGAUGGCGAAGGCAGAUCUCUGGGCCGUAACUGACGCUGAGGAGCGAAAGCAUGGGGAGCAAAC
Molecule: ribosomal RNA, 406 nt
Filed under: uncultured bacterium
Lineage: Bacteria
Description: bacterial SSU rRNA
Rfam family: Bacterial small subunit ribosomal RNA
Source: RNAcentral